Molecule: long non-coding RNA, 1411 nt
Filed under: Macaca fascicularis (crab-eating macaque)
Lineage: Eukaryota; Metazoa; Chordata; Mammalia; Primates; Cercopithecidae
Description: lncRNA (ENSMFAG00000059569.1)
Source: RNAcentral
GCGCAUCAUGAGGUCAGGAGAUCGAGACCAUCCUGGCUAACACAGUGAAACCCCGUCUCUACUAAAAAAUGCAAAAAAUUAGCCUGGUGUGGUGACAGACACCUGUAGUCCCAGCUACUCAGGAGGCUGAGGCGGGAGAAUGGCAUGAACCUGGGAGGCAGAGCUGGCAGUGAGCCGAGAUAGCACCACUGCACUCCAGCCUGGGCAACAGAGCAAGACUCUGUCUCAAAAAAAAAAAAAAAAAAAAAGACAGUGAAGACACAUCAUCCUCAGCUCUGGAGUGGCGCUUCCCUUCCAGUGGUGAGAGCUAAUCAUGUGGCCUGGACUCAGUGCUUGAAGUCUGGGAGGUGUUGUCUGAGCUCAGGAAGAAAUGGCCCUUGCCUCAGCUGCUGAUAAACGCAACAGGCCAUAGUUAAUGACAGAUCAUGAUUGUCAAGUAUCGUCAAUGCUCGGUGGAAGCUGGGUUUAUACUAACUUUCCUUUGCAGAGUUUUUACUGAUUCAUAAAGCCAGUGGUUGCAUAUUACAAGCAGAUCGUUAGUUCACACAACACAAAUGUCAUUUGGUCACGGAUAUUUUUGUUGCUGUUCGAUCGUUUCUUUCCCUACUUAUCAACUGGUGUGGAUGGACCUAGAGAAGAUGUUCACCCUUUCCAGCAAGGAAUAUAGUUCCUUCAUCCGUUUGUCCUUUAUUAAAUUAAAGUCAUGCUGAGGACGACGCGUUAUUGCCCCUGGUUGUCCUGCUGCCCCUUCCUGUGAGCAGCCUGUAAGUUCCUGCCCGAUGCCGAGUGCCUGUCUGUGUCAUCUUGCCCACCAGAGGAACAGAGUCCAAGCCUCACGGGUGGUGUGCCGUGCCUGGGGGAAGGGAGCGUGAGUGUGUCAUGUUUGAGCAGGUGCUUUAGGAAGCAGAGGGGGCUUCUGCAGCCUUCUCAUCCUUUUCCCCACUGCAGGAGCUGCUCCCUCCCCUGUGGUCCCAGAUAGGACUCAUGCAGCAGAGCCUUCACAGCUGCCCCUCAGGGGCUCCAUGUCACGGAAGGCAGGGGGAGCAUUGUUUGCCGUACAGCAAAGCUGACCGGGAUGAGCUGCCACCGGGUGCUGUGCCAGGUGCAGUAGGAGCACCCUGGAAGACUGUGAUGGGCAUUCGCUGAGCCAGCACAGACGGGAGGCACGGAGAAUGGUGCUGGGAACCUUUGUAACUACUGACAAUACGUGUUUCUCAUGAUGCAGGCUUACAGAUGAGGCGACAGACGUGGUGUGCCAGCCCUGAGGCACCUGGACAGGUCUGAGGUCCUGCUUGGCUUGGUGGUUGGCUCUGGGACCUGUGGGACCCCAGCAGGCAGGGAGCAGGCAGUGUGGGCUGGGCUGGGGCAGAGGCUACCCUGGCACCUUGCUCUCAUUUUACCUGGUAUUGGG